RNAcentral lists this long non-coding RNA (911 nucleotides) under Cercocebus atys (sooty mangabey). RNAcentral's name for it is "lncRNA (ENSCATG00000045554.1)". Lineage: Eukaryota; Metazoa; Chordata; Mammalia; Primates; Cercopithecidae. The record is from RNAcentral.
CAUCAUUCCUUUACAGGGGUUGCAGCCAUACUAAACUAAAUGCUCCAUGGGAGCACGGUGAGAGCUGUGGGUGGAUUUGACAUAUAGUAGAGUAAGAAUAAGUGAAUCCAGAAAAGCCAACUGUCAUAGGCAAUGGAGAUGGGAUGUCAGGAGAUUUCUUCGAGCAACAACAAUGACAAAAAAUUGAGAAUCAAAGAAUUGGAAGUCACAGGUAGGUGAGGAGGAGGGAAGGACUCUAGGCAUUCACUCUAGCAUGUGCCACUCAGCACAGUGACACGAUACAGUGAGAGGACAAGGUGGUCAUCAAUGUCACCAGAGGGAGAAGUGGGAAUGUACGCUGAAGUCCUCAAAUGCCAUGUUGAGUAGCAUAGACUGUAACCCCUAAAGUCAGGGCUUUCCAAACUUCAGUCAUUCAGUAUCAACUUCACAAUUUUUGCCAGAUCUGAGUACUGCAGUAUCUCUUCUUUAACCAUUUACUUAAUUGGUCUUUAAAUGGACUCACCUUCUUUUAAACUAAAUAAACUUACUCUAUAAGAAAAUUCUACUACCAUUGUAAAUAAUAACCCAUACCAUUUGUCAUAAAUAUAAGAAAAUGAAACCCAUAAAGUAAAACCAAACUAUAUUAUUACGCUCUUUCUAGAUACUUUUGCCUAAAGACAACUCUGAGCCCAAGCCAACUAUCUCUUGGCUAAAAAGGGAAAUGAGCAGGUUUUUGAAGAGUAUGACAGCCAUAAAGCACUCCUACAGUGAAAUUUUCCCGUAGAAGAAUGGAGAGGGAUCUGAGAAGUUGCUGCUGUGGAUUUAACAUGAGGCUUCUACAUCCCUUCUGCUGUUUCGAGUUGGUCAGACCUCUGGGUUGCCCAGUCAGACCUGGGGAAGAGUUCACACUGCAGACCCGUCAGCCUGCCUAG